Long non-coding RNA from Passer montanus (Eurasian tree sparrow), 1327 nucleotides. RefSeq lists it as uncharacterized. The record is from RefSeq and is a predicted model, not a curated record. NCBI's taxonomy places the organism in Eukaryota, Metazoa, Chordata, Aves, Passeriformes, Passeridae. The transcript is spliced from 4 exons.
GUUUUCUUCAGCGAGUCCAUUUUGAUGGCAGACCUGAGAGCUGAAAGCAACUUUUCAAAAUGGCAAGUGAGGUGCUCUAUGCUGUGGUGUCACCCAAGGAAAGAGCGAAUUUUAUUUCAGAAGCUUCAGAUACAGGUGAUUCAGUCACAUAUGCUGAGGUGAAUAUGAAUUGGAGAUCUGACAGACCUGACAGCACACCCAAAAUUACACACUCAGUGACCUGCUUGGAGAACUCCCCCUGGUGCUACCUUGUCUUCGCCCUCCUCUUCUGCACAGUGAUUCUGCUCCUCACGGUCAUCCUGCUGGCAGUGAAAUGUUACAGUCUUUGACCCUGCUGCCAUACCAGGUAAGUCAGCAUGGAAGGUUCUGCUUUUUCAACGGAACUGGAUGUAGUCUGUUUUAUUUUACAUUAUUUUGGCUGAGGAGACAAAAUGAAGAUAUGCCAUCAGUCUGAUCACUCUCCAGUUAUGUCUUCCCAGAGCUCUGUAAAACCUCUAACCUCUCCAUAUGUGGACUAUAUAGAUACCAACUUUAUUUGGAAUUUUCUUAAUCCUACAAUACCAGCAACCAUCCAACUAUAUCAGUGCAUGUAUCAAGACAUGGGCUCAAGAUCCUGCAUCAAAAGGUGGAUUCGCGCCUUGUUUACACAACAAAAAUGAUCAGGUGGAGACAUACUUUUAAUUCACAUCUGACUUGAUUCUGCACUGGUGUGCAAUAUAUAUACACUUUUGGAUUAUAUGCAAGUGCAAAAACUCAUAGACAAAACAGGGAAUUAUAAAAAUCCUUUUUAUAAAGGCUGGGCUUGGACUUGGUUUUUCUUCUUCUGACAGCCAACUAAAGUUAGUUGGAUUUGUAUGAAAGGGAUAUUGAAGGUUCAAGAAACUGAAUGUUAUCAGUAGAGAAGUCUCCAUUUCAUCUCCUCAUUGUCUUGAAUUGAAUUGUUCUGUUCCACUUGUCCAGAAGAGCAUCUCACAAUAUACUGUUUCUGUCUUGGGGCAGUAAUUGAUUUUUGUAUUUGUGUUUGGUUUUUUUCUCCCACAUGCCAUAGCUUCAGUUAAAACUGACUCUUCCACUGGAACUGAGACACUGAAGUUCAAAUACAUUUGUUUGUAAUUAUGACCUUAUUGUCUGUUUUUAUAUUAUUUUUGGAUCUUAUCCUUUUAAACUUCUUUGUGGCAGGCUGCAGAGGAUUUGCAGAUUCUGAGUAGGAGGAAUCUGUAUAGCAAAUAUAUCUAGAACUUAUAUAUCUAUAUAUAUUUUAUACAUAUAUAUAAAAUAUAUCUAAACUUCCUGUACUUUAGCUGUUGCUGUUGCUGCUGUUGGUAAU